This 255-nucleotide ribosomal RNA is filed under the name uncultured bacterium. Its description in RNAcentral is "partial 16S ribosomal RNA". It matches the Rfam family "Bacterial small subunit ribosomal RNA", at positions 524 to 776 of the family's 1533-position model. The record is from RNAcentral.
UACAGAGGGGGCAAGCGUUGUUCGGAAUUACUGGGCGUAAAAGGGCGCGUAGGCGGCCUGUUAAGUCAGACGUGAAAUCCCUCGGCUCAACCGGGGAACUGCGUCUGAUACUGGCGGGCUUGAAUUCGGGAGAGGGAUGUGGAAUUCCAGGUGUAGCGGUGAAAAUGCGUAGAUAUCGGAAGGAACAUCAGUGGCGAAAGCGACUUCCUGGACCAAUACUGACGCUCAUGUGCGAAAGCGUGGGGAGCAAACAGG